GUACACUCCUGCGGGAGGCAGCAGUGGGGAAUUUUGGACAAUGGGCGAAAGCCUGAUCCAGCAAUGCCGCGUGAGUGAAGAAGGCCUUCGGGUUGUAAAGCUCUUUUGUCAGGGAAGAAACGGUGAAAGCUAAUAUCUUUUGCUAAUGACGGUACCUGAAGAAUAAGCACCGGCUAACUACGUGCCAGCAGCCGCGGUAAUACGUAGGGUGCAAGCGUUAAUCGGAAUUACUGGGCGUAAAGCGUGCGCAGGCGGUUUUGUAAGUCUGAUGUGAAAUCCCCGGGCUCAACCUGGGAAUUGCAUUGGAGACUGCAAGGCUAGAAUCUGGCAGAGGGGGGUAGAAUUCCACGUGUAGCAGUGAAAUGCGUAGAUAUGUGGAGGAACACCGAUGGCGAAGGCAGCCCCCUGGGUCAAGAUUGACGCUCAUGCACGAAAGCGUGGGGAGCAAACAGGAUUAGAUGCCCUUGUAGUCCCAU
Molecule: ribosomal RNA, 476 nt
Filed under: uncultured organism
Description: partial 16S ribosomal RNA
Rfam family: Bacterial small subunit ribosomal RNA
Source: RNAcentral